CUGUUCAAUUCAGGUAAAUAUUUUUUUUUAAAUAAACAGGGGUAAAAAAUGACAAAAUAGCAAUGUGUGGGGUGUUUGUUUUGAUUUUGAUACUUUUAAAGGGUAAUCAAAUAGUGCAGUUGGUUGCUUAAUCCAUCCGCUCAUCAAAGCCUUGGUCCUCCUCUACCACAACCAUUGACUCACUCGCUGCUUUUAGAACAGAUAAAGAAGAAGAUUCUGACCCCAACAUGGAGAUCUGAGACUUCAUCUGAUUAUGCUGUUUUUAUUAUUAAAGUUAAUCAUUUUUUUCUGGAAAAUAUCAAUUUAUUCUGAAGUAUGUUUAAAUCAAAGCACAAAUAUUCGAAUUAUUGUGAACAGGGAGGACCAAAGUUCAUUUUGUGUGUCACGUUUCUAUUCAAGUUAAAUAUUAUAUAAGGUAAUGAUGAAGUGUUUUCCUAGAGCAUGUGUCACAAUAAAAAGAGAAUCUGACAAUGUGAAUUUUAUUUCAUAAUUAACACUGUUGGGUGCUGUCUAUCAGUCAUUGCCAAAUUUUUGACAAAUUAAAAUAAACUUGUUUAAUGGUUGAAAAUAUAAUCAAACCCCAACUGUCUGCUGUCUGCUAGAGUUUUUUUGUUCUGGUGUAUCCUCUCAUGCUCCCCAUAUCCCAGCAUGCAUUGCAGUCGACCCUGAAGAUUUUUCCACAGUGGUGGACUUAAAUGCGGCACCCAGAGUCAUAGAAAAUGUGACUUUUAAUGACAAUCCUGAAGAAAAUGGCUCUGCUGGGAAAGAUUUCCCCCUUAUAGGGCAAAAAAACAGUGGGACAACCUAA
Molecule: long non-coding RNA, 808 nt
Organism: Oryzias melastigma (Indian medaka)
Lineage: Eukaryota; Metazoa; Chordata; Actinopteri; Beloniformes; Adrianichthyidae
Exons: 2
Source: RefSeq, a predicted model, not a curated record